GCCAGGAAUUGAAUCUGAGCCACUGCUGAGACCUAUGCCACAGCUGUGGUAAAGCCAUAUCCUUUAACCCAUUGAGCAGGGCUGGGGAUGGAACCUGCACCUCCACAACAACCCGAGCCACUGCAGUCAGAUUCUUAAUCCACUGCACCACAUAAGGAACUCUUAGAAUAUCUGAUUUUUAUGAAAUGACCCCCAAAUCUUGGUCUUUAAAAUGUGAAAUUUCCCUAUUUCAAAAUAGAGCCACUAUACAAAAGAAACAAACCACCCUUUGGGUGAUAGCUGAAACUGGGUCUCAUUUGCCAGUGUGCGACUUAUAGCUUAAACUAGUCUACAACUUUAUUUUAUUUUUUGUGAAGGGAAUAGAUAGCAGAAUAGGUGCAUAGCAUCAUACACAGAAUUUCUUUAGGGUUUUUUACAACUUUGCCACUUACCCACCCUAGUCCAGUGGAGGACUUGGGUCCUGAUUCCCUGUCUGGGUCCAUGUGAUGGAAACCUAAGACAAAGGGCUGGCCAGUUGGGAACAAGCAGGGUCAAAACUCUAGUGCGCAGCUAGAAACCAGGAGGGAGGUUUAUAUAUAAAUGAUAUGGGAUGAAACAGACUCUAUUGAACUAGAAAGAAGGAUUCUAGCCCAUGACGGUGGUUGGGUCUGGAGUAAUUACUGUGUUUGUGUAGGGGCAGCAAUAGAUUUCUAUAGAGCAGAUGCUUGCAACCCACAAGAGAAGAGGAACAAGACUCGGUUGUGGUUGUAUCCCAUUAGAGGAGGACGCUUGUCAUAGGAGCUUUCGUAGGCUGCCUUUCACUUAAUCCACACACACAUAAUGAGACUGUUAUUGCUGUUUUGCUGAAGGUGAAAUUGAAGGUCUGAGAGUUUCUGCUGUAAGUGGUUCAGUAAGUAAGUGGUGGAGCUGCAAAUUGAAUCUAGAUCGUUUGAUAGGAAGGCAAGUAAACCACCACCCUCAAUUAGGGCUAAUAUGCCCCUGCCUCCUGGCCCAGGAAUAUAGCCUGACAAACGGAAAGAAGACCAUGGAUUUCACCUAUUUUUAUGACCCCAAGUUUUACAGUGGGAAUCUGGCCUCACAUUUGCAUAUAUUUCUACCUAGGAAGAGCUAUAUUUUCAUGAUUAGCAUAAAAAAUGACUACAGGAGAAGUCCAUUCUCAACUCAAGUUGAAAUAGGGUAUGAACAGAAACCUCCUCUACCCUGCAGAGCCCACUCCUGAGCCAUUACAUCCCUGUUUGACCAGGGCAGAUCCUAAUUCUUCAACUGAGAUUUCUUUGCUCCACUACAUUCAAUCCAUGUUGGGGCUAUUAAAAUGUCUUUUUUAGUACUUAGUCUGAAAUUACCUCAUUUUACAUAUUUCCCUGUUACAUAGAUCUGUAGCCUUUUGGAAAAUGAAUUUCUUUCAGUGGGGGUGGUGGAAUGUCUGUGAUUUUAAUGUUAUUAUAUAAUAUGUCUUGAUUAAUCAGUGAUUGAGAGCCAUCUAGCUCUAAGCCCGAGUACAAGUAAAUAAAAAUGGACUUUGAGCCUCCCUUCUGCCUCCAUUAAAAAAAACCCUCUGAAAAUGAGAUGAUAGGAGAAAGGGGAUGGCAGCACCUAAGCCCAAGAACCUGGAAGGUUUAAGCGAGGUACUUAGUAUUCAUCUGGUAGUCACUGCAAUAAUAUCAAUCUUACCAAAUUCUCCUGGUAUUAAUGUAGAUGUUCUGCAUUUAAUAUAUAUUUGCAGUAGAAUUUCAUUGUAAUUGAGCACUAAAUGAUACCCACUUAUGGUAAAGUGGUUCCAGAAUUUUUUGUAAUAAAUGGAUUGUAGUGGAAUAGAAGAUCCCAGAUUCAUCGCUGAGUCUAUAUUAGACUCUUUAUGCUCUAAUCGUCAUUGACUGUCUUUACUGUAUUAUUUCGAGAGUUCAUAAUUCCCCGUGCUGAACAAAUGAUGAUUUGUGAGUGAAGUAAGACAGUGCCUGGAUUAUGCAGUGCCACUGAUUUUUUUAUUGCUCUUGUUUCACAAAAUAUCUUCUAAAAUCAUUUGAAUCAUCUCUGUUGGUGUCAUUACUAAUGGCUGUAGAUUCAUGCGGGGAGGGAUUUGUAUAGUGACAAUGACAGCAAACAUUUAUUGAGUGCUUAUUAUGUUCUAAACACCCUAUAAAGGUAAAUACUUUACAUUCAUUGUCUUAUUGGAACCUCACAACAAUUCGAUAGAUUUGGUUACAAUUCAUAUUUUAGCCCAGUAAGUUGAAGUUCAGAGGUUAAGGAAUUUGUAGGAGGUAUACAGCUAGAAAGAGACAGAAUUGGGGUUGAAUUCAUAUCCACCUGGCUUCAGGCUUCAAAGUCUGUGCUUUGAUUCACCAUACCAGAUGGCUCGUGGAAUGGAAUCCCUCUAAGGAGACGGAACAAACUAUGGAUUCCUGGACCAGUAAAGAAAUCCUUGUGUUCCUUGAUCACAAGCAGAUAGAGUUAUUAAAAUAACUCAGAAACUAUAAUUCGGACUCAGGGAUGAGGGGAGCUAAUGUUUUUUGUGGGGUGGUGGUGGAAUAUCUGCCUAAAAAUUGGAAACACAAUGAUUCCAAGAAGUGAAUAACCAGUAAACCAGAUAAAUUAUAUUACUGUACUUGUUUGCAUGGAAGUGGCUUUACCAGACACGUGACAGUGGCUACUUAAUCCCAGGGUUAGAGCAGGUGGCUGUUAGAGCUGAGGUUGAAAGCUCUGUGUGAUUUGUAAUCCUCACACUGCCCGUAUUGAGUGUUCUGGGAGGCCCAUGGGAAGGGGCUGUCCCAGCUCUGACACUAAUCAAUGGCCUUGGCGAAACAUUGACUUGUCUCAUCAGCAAAACGAAGGGACUGGGUUGAAUUCAAGACUUGGAAAUGUAUUGAGAUUUUGGCAUCGUGCGUCUUCAAAAAAUAUAAUUCAAAAUUAAUUCUAUGUAAGAACAGAUGAGAAGAGAACAUAUGUGGUUUGAAGUAAGUGUUCUCCCUCCCCAUUCUAGUGCUUGGGUGCCCCCUGUCCUAGUCCAGACCCUCUGAAACCCCAUGGGCUGUUGAAGACAAGUCUGGAAAACCUCUGGUUGAGCUGCUCCCAAAGGCUCUGCUAACUCAUACUCUCAUACCCAUAACAUCCAGAUAUAGAGCACACCCAGAGCCACGUCUGCUUUAAUUUUGUGAACGCCGGGAAUUGUCACUGAUAAGUGUUCCUUGCCACAGUGAUUCUUGGGCUAAUGGUUUCCUUAGGGCAAGGGUACAGGGCAUUAAGCAUCUUGGAUUAACACUAAUUUGUUUUGGAUUAACCACAAUUUAUGUUCCCACCAUUUCAUUUUUCUUUCUCCUCUUCUUCUAGUGCAUGUGAUUGGCUAUUUUACAUAAUUCUGCAAACUGCUUCAAAAAAAAUUUUUUUUUGAGCAAGGUGGAUUAGGAAAUGAACCAACCACAAACAAAAUCUCCCUUGAAUCAUUUCUGAUUCCAUGCACAAAACCUGUCGUGAAGUCCUACCUAUUUUGUCAGUUGGAGCUCAACUGACACUUUGUUGCUUUGGUGGUUCCCAAACUUAGGUGCAUCAGCUGGUCCCAGGGUCACUCUUAUUACAUCUGUGUGCUUCCUUGAUCACACUUAGCAGUUUCUGGCACGAACCUGUGUGAUUAUGUGACUUAGUACUGAAUUCUCAUGGGACCUCAAACUCUCCAGGUAUGAGGGAAGCAAACACACCCAUGCUGUUCACUGUUUUAUCCUAAGUAUCAACACAUUUUCUGGCAUGGGGAGGAUGUGCACCAAAUGUCUGUGGAAUGAAUCAAGGUUAAAAUUCUUUCUGUUUGGGAGCAGUCUAAUCAGAUAGCUAUUGAUUCGUGGUGAAGCUCUGGAGCCAGGCUACUUGGUUCAAAUCCAGGCUCAAACACUUCCUCACUGUGUAUUCUUGGAUGAAUCACUUAAAUCUUUUAAGGCUUGGUUUCUUCAUCUGUGAAAUAGGACUGAUGAAAAUAUCUGUGUUGUAGUGUUUGUAUAAGAAAUAAUGAGAGGAGUUCCCGUCGUGGUGCAGUGGUUAACGAAUCCGACUAGGAACCAUGAGGUUGUGGGUUCGGUCCCUGCCCUUGCUCAGUGGGUUAACGAUCCGGCGUUGCCGUGAGCUGUGGUGUAGGUUGCAGAUGCGGCUCGGAUCCCACGUUGCUGUGGCUCUGGCGUAGGCCGGUGGCUACAGCUCCGAUUGGACCCCUAGCCUGGGAACCUCCAUAUGCCGCGGGAGUGGCCCAAGAAAUAGCAACAACAACAACAACAACAAAAGAC
RNAcentral lists this long non-coding RNA (4262 nucleotides) under Sus scrofa (pig). RNAcentral's name for it is "lncRNA (ENSSSCG00000060863.1)". The record is from RNAcentral. Lineage: Eukaryota; Metazoa; Chordata; Mammalia; Artiodactyla; Suidae.